AGUGAACGCUGGCGGCAGGCCUAAUACAUGCAAGUCGAACGGCAGCACAGCAGAGCUUGCUCUGUGGGUGGCGAGUGGCGGACGGGUGAGGAAUACAUGGGAAUCUGCCCAGUCGUGGGGGAUAACGUAGGGAAACUUACGCUAAUACCGCAUGCGCCCUUCGGGGGAAAGCCGGGGACCUUCGGGCCUGGCGCGAUUGGAUGAGCCCAUGUCGGAUUAGCUAGUUGGCGGGGUAAUGGCCCACCAAGGCGACGAUCCGUAGCUGGUCUGAGAGGAUGAUCAGCCACACUGGAACUGAGACACGGUCCAGACUCCUACGGGAGGCAGCAGUAGGGAAUAUUGGACAAUGGGCGCAAGCCUGAUCCAGCCAUGCCGCGUGAGUGAAGAAGGCCCUCGGGUUGUAAAGCUCUUUUGUCCCGGUAAAGAAAAAGACGCCGGGUUAAUACCCUAGUGUCCUGACGGUACCGGAAGAAUAAGCACCGGCUAACUUCGUGCCAGCAGCCGCGGUAA
This 510-nucleotide ribosomal RNA is filed under the name uncultured bacterium. RNAcentral describes it as "bacterial SSU rRNA". It matches the Rfam family "Bacterial small subunit ribosomal RNA", at positions 29 to 523 of the family's 1533-position model. The record is from RNAcentral.